GUUCGGUUAGCUCAGUUGGCAGAGCAUCGCAAUUACGCACAUCUCUCACAUGGAAGUGGAAGAACAGUUACUGCGAAGGCCAUAGGUUCAAGCCCUAUACUGACCA
Xylariaceae sp. FL1019 is the source of this 106-nucleotide non-coding RNA. Lineage: Eukaryota; Fungi; Ascomycota; Sordariomycetes; Xylariales; Xylariaceae. The record is from the annotation of a GenBank genome assembly.